Molecule: unclassified non-coding RNA, 829 nt
Filed under: Bradyrhizobium sp.
Lineage: Bacteria; Pseudomonadati; Pseudomonadota; Alphaproteobacteria; Hyphomicrobiales; Nitrobacteraceae
Description: partial 16S-23S ribosomal RNA intergenic spacer
Rfam family: tRNA (bases 150-223)
Source: RNAcentral
CGUUUUAGAAACAUCAGUGGCCAACAGAUCGCCAGAUCGUUGAGCUGCAUUGGCGGGAUUUCGCCGUCUUCGUUUCUCUUUCUUCGCGGACGAACACGCGCUGGGCCUGCAACGGCAGGAUCCAGGGUCCUUAACGGGAUGUGCGUUAGGGGCUUGUAGCUCAGUUGGUUAGAGCGCGCGCUUGAUAAGCGUGAGGUCGGAAGUUCAAGUCUUCCCAGGCCCACCACUUUCAUCGAGUGAGCAUUCGUCUUCUGGUUACGGGGCCAUAGCUCAGCUGGGAGAGCGCGUGCUUUGCAAGCAUGAGGUCGUCGGUUCGAUCCCGUCUGGCUCCACCAGAUGGUUUGAUCACCGAGAUCUUGACCGUCGUCCGCGAAACAUCACUUCGCAUCCUGCUAGUCUGGAUAGACAGCAGUUUGCGUGUUUUCUGACAUCGUAAAGAGGAGAUCGAUCCGAGUUGGGUCGUGCAGCAUAUCGUUGCGCGAGCCUUCAUUAUCUCCGGAUCAUUUCGGCGCUCGCUUCCAGCCGUGAGGUUGGAUGCGGGUUGUAAAUGAUCCUUUUAGCGAAGCUUGACCGCCUCGCUAUCGGAACGAUCUUACGAAGCAAGCUGGUCUUUCUAGUCAAUGUCCGGCUGCGGAUAGCGUUCAUCGAGGGCGCGUGCCGCAAGGCAAUUCUGCAGACAACAUUCUGCCGAGUGUGUGGACAUUGAUAAUGAGAGCAAUCAAGUGCCUUAAGGGUGUUCGGUGGAUGCCUUGGCGCUGAGAGGCGAUGAAGGACGUGCUACGCUGCGAUAAGCCGUGGGGAGCUGCGAAGAAGCUUUGAUCCGCGAUUC